RNAcentral lists this long non-coding RNA (5424 nucleotides) under Salmo salar (Atlantic salmon). RNAcentral describes it as "lncRNA (ENSSSAG00000088011.1)". The record is from RNAcentral. Lineage: Eukaryota; Metazoa; Chordata; Actinopteri; Salmoniformes; Salmonidae.
GUAGGAGAGGUAGAAGAGUUGUUCGAGGAGAGUUGAGGGAGGAGAGGUAGGAGAGGAAAGGUAGCAGAGGAGAGGUAGGAGAGUUGAAGGAGGAGAGGUAGAAGAGUUGAGGGAGGAAAGGUAGGAGAGGAGAGGAAGGAGAUUUGAAGGAGGAGAGGUAGGAGAGUUGAGGGAGGAGAGGAAAUGGAGGAGAGGUAGAGGAGUUGAGGGAGAAGAGGUAGAAGUGUUGAGGCAUGAGAUGAGAGGCAGGAGAGUUGAGGGAGGAGAGGUAAGAGAGGAAAGGUAGGAAAGGCAUGAGAGGAGAGGCAGGAGAGGAGAGGUAGGAGAGUUGAGGGAGGAGAGUUGAGGCAUGAGAGGAGAGGUAGGAGAGGAGAGAUUGGAGAGGAGAGGUAGGAGGGUUGAGGGAGGAGAGGUAGGAGAGUUGAGGGAGGAGAGGUAGAAGAGGUAGGAGAAGAGAGGUAGGAGAGUUGAUGGAGGAGAGGGAGGAGAGUUGAGGGAGGAGAUGUAGGAAAGGCAUGAGAGGAGAGGUAGGAGAGUUGAGGGAGGAGAGUUAAGGCAUGAGAGGAGAGGUAGGAGAGGUAGGAGAGUUGAGGGAAGGAGAGGUAGGAGAGUUGAGGGAAGGAGAGGUAGGAGAGUUGAGGGAUGAGAGGUAGGAGAGGAAAGGUGGGAGAGGAGAGGGAGGAGAGGAGAGGUAGGAGAGUUGAGGGAGGAGAGGAGAUGCAGGGGAGGAGAGGUAGGAGAGGAGAGGUAGGAAAGCAGAGGAGAGGCAUGAGAGGAGAGGUAGGAGAGGCAUGAGAGGAGAGGUAGGAGAGUUGAGGGAGGAGAGGUAGGAGAGGAAAGGCAUGAGAGGAGAGGUAGGAGAGGCAUGAGAGGAGAGAUAGGAGAGUUGAAGGAGGAGAGGUAGGAGAGGAGAGGUAGGAGAGUUGAUAGAGGAGAGGCUUGAGAGGAGAGGGAGGAGAGGAGAGAGAGGAGAGGAGAGGGAGGAAAGGUAGGCGAGGAGAGGUAGAUGAGGAGAGGUUGGAGAGUUGAAAGAGGAGAGGUAGGAGUGUUAAGGGAGAAGAGUUGAGGGAGGAGAGGUAGGAGAGUUGAGGGAGGAGCGGUACCAGAGUUGAGGGAGGAGAAUUGAGGGAGGAGAGGGAUGAGAGGAGAGGUAGGAGAGGAGAGGUAGGAGAGUAGUGGGAGGAGAGGUAGGAGAGGAACGGUAGGAGAGGGAGAGGUAUGAAAGGAGAGGUAGGAGGGGUAGGAGAGUUGAGGGAGGAGAGGCAUGAGAGGAGAGGUAGAAGAGUUGAGGGAGGAGAGGAGAGGCAUGAGAUGAGAGGUAGGAGAGUUGAGAGGGGAGAGGUAGAAAAGGUAGGAGAGCUGAGGUAGGAGAGGUAGGAGAGUUGAGGGAGGAGAGGUAGGAGAGGAAAGGUAGGAGAGGAGAGGAGAGGAAGGAGAGUUGAAGGAGGAGAGGUAGGAGAGUUGAGGGAGGAGAGGUAGAGAGGUUGAGGGAGAAGAGGUAGGAGUGUUGAGGUAGGAGAGGAAAGGCAGGAGAGGAAGGAGAGGAGAGGUAGAAGAGGUAGGAGAGUUAAGGGAGGAGAGGUUGGAGAGUUGAGAGAGGAGAGUUGAGGGAGGAGAGGGAGGAGUGUUGAGGGAGGAGAGGGAGGAGAGUUGAGGGAGGAGAGGUAGGAGAGGAGAGGUGGGAGAGGAGAGGGAGGAGAGGAGAGGUAGGAGAGUUGAGGGAGGAGAGGAGAUGCAGGGGAGGAGAGGUAGGAGAGGAGAGGUAGGAAAGCAGAGGAGAGGCAUGAGAGGAGAGGUAGGAGAGGCAUGAGAGGAGAGGUAGGAGAGUUGAGGGAGGAGAGGUAGGAGAGGAAAGGCAUGAGAGGAGAGGUAGGAGAGGCAUGAGAGGAGAGAUAGGAGAGUUGAAGGAGGAGAGGUAGGAGAGGAGAGGUAGGAGAGUUGAUAGAGGAGAGGCUUGAGAGGAGAGGGAGGAGAGGAGAGAGAGGAGAGGGAGGAAAGGUAGGCGAGGAGAGGUAGAUGAGGAGAGGUUGGAGAGUUGAAAGAGGAGCGGUACCAGAGUUGAGGGAGGAGAAUUGAGGGAGGAGAGGAGAGGUAGGAGAGGAGAGGUAGGAGAGUAGUGGGAGGAGAGGUAGGAGAGGAACGGUAGGAGAGGGAGAGGUAUGAAAGGAGAGGUAGGAGGGGUAGGAGAGUUGAGGGAGGAGAGGCAUGAGAGGAGAGGUAGAAGAGUUGAGGGAGGAGAGGAGAGGCAUGAGAGGAGAGGUAGGAGAGUUGAGAGGGGAGAGGUAGGAAAGGUAGGAGAGCUGAGGUAGGAGAGGUAGGAGAGUUGAGGGAGGAGAGGUAGGAGCGGAAAGGUAGGAGAGGAGAGGAGAGGAAGGAGAGUUGAAGGAGGAGAGGUAGGGGAGUUGAGGGAGGAGAGGUAGAGAGGUUGAGGGAGAAGAGGUAGGAGUGUUGAGGUAGGAGAGGAAAGGCAGGAGAGGAAGGAGAGGAGAGGUAGAAGAGGUAGGAGAGUUAAGGGAGGAGAGGUUGGAGAGUUGAGAGAGGAGAGUUGAGGGAGGAGAGGGAGGAGUGUUGAGGGAGAGAGGGAGGAGAGUUGAGGGAGGAGAGGUAGGAGAGGAGAGGUGGGGGAGGAGAGGUGGGGGAGGAGUGUUAAGACAGGCAUGAGAGGAAAGGGAGGACUUGUGAGGGAGGAGAGGAAAGGGAGGAGAGGCAUGAGAGGAGAGAUAGGAGAGGUAGGAGAGUUGAGGGAGGAGAGGUAGGAAAGGAAAGGUAGGAGAGGAGAGGGAGGAGAGUUGAGGGAGGAGAGGGAGGAGAGUUGAGGGAGAAGAGGGAGGAGUAGAAAGGUAUGAGAGUUGAGGGAGGAGAGGUAGAAGAAUUGAGGAGAGGAGAGUUAGGGUCGGAGAGUUGGUGGAGGAGAGGUAAGAGAGGAGAGGUAGGAGAGUUGAGGGAGGAGAGGUAGGAGAAUUGAGGGAGGAGAGGUAGGAGAGUUGAGGGAGGAGUGGUAGGAGAGGAGAGGUAGGAGAGCUGAUGGGGGAGAGAUAGGGGAAUUGAGGGAGGAGAGUUGAGUGAGGAGAGGAGAGGUAGGAGAGGAGUGGGAGGAGAGUUGAGGGCGGAGAGGAAGGAGAGGUAGGAGAGUUGAGGGAGGAGAGUUGAUGGGGGAGAGAUAGGGGAAUUGAGGGAGGAGAGGAGAGGAAGGAGAGUUGAAGGAGGAGAGGUAGGAGAGCUGAGGGAGGAGAGGAGAGGGAGUAGAGGUAGGAGAGGAGAGGUAGAUGAGGAGAGGUAGGAGAGUUGAGAGAGGAGAGGUAGGAAAGUCAUGAGAGGAGAGGAAGGAGAGUUGAGGGAGGAGAGCUGAUGGAGGAGAGAUAAGGGAGUUGAGGGAGGAGAGGCAGGAGAAGAGAGGUAGGAGAGGAAUGAGAGGAGAGGUAGGAGAGUUGAGGGAGGAGAGGUAGGAGAGUUGAGUGAGGAGAGGUGAGGGAGGAGAGGUAGGAGAGGAAAGGUAGGAGAGGAGAGGUAGGAGAGUUGAUGGAGGAGAGGUAGAAGAGUUGAGGGAGGAAAGGUAGGAGAGGAGAGGAAGGAGAGUUGAAGGAGGAGGGGUAGGAGAGUUGAGGGAGGAGAGGAGAGGGAGGAGAGGUAGAGGAGUUGAGGGAGAAGAGGUAGGAGUGUUGAUGUAGGAGAGGAAAGGCAGGAGGGGAGAGGGAGGAGAGGUAGGAGAGUUGAGGCAGGAGAGUUGAGGUAGGAGGGCAUUAGAGGAGAGGAAGGAGAGUUGAGAUAGGAGAGGAGAGGUUGGAGAGGUAGGAGAGGAGAGGGAAGAGAGGUAGGGGAGUUGAGGGAGGAGAGGUAGGAACGUUGAGGGAGGAGGGGUAGGAGAGUUGAGGGAGGAGCGGUAGGAGAGGAGAGGUAGGAGAGUUGUGGGAGGAGAGGUAGGAACGUUGAGGGAGGAGGGGUAGGAGAGUUGAGGGAGGAGCGGUAGGAGAGGAGAGGUAGGAGAGUUGUGGGAGGAGAGGUAGGAGAGGAAAGGUAGGAGAGGAGAGGUAGGAGGGUUGAGGAAGGAGAGGUAGGGGUGAGGCAGGAGAGUUGAGGGAGGAGAGUUGAGGGAGGAGAGGUAGGAGAGUUGAGGGAGGAAAGGUAGGAGAGGAGAGGAAGGAGAGUUGAAGGCGGAGAGGUAGGAGAAUUGAGGGAGGAGAGGGAGGAGAGGUAGAGGAGUUGAGGGAGAAGAGGUAAGAGAGUUGAGGUAGGAGAGGAAAGGCAGGAGAGGAGAGGGAGGAGAGGUAGGAGAGUUGAGGUAGAAGAGGCAUGAGAGGAGAGGCAGGAAGGUUGAGGUACGAGAGGAGAGGUAGGAGACUUGCGGGAGGAGAGGCAUGAGAGGAGAGGUAGGAGAGGCAUGAGAGGAGAGGUAGGAGAGUUGAAGGAGGAGAGGUAGGAGAGGAGAGGGAAGAGAGGUAGGAGAGUUGAGCGAGGAGCGGAAGGAGAGUUGAGGGAGGAGAGGUAGGAGAGGGGAGGUAGGAGAGUUGAGGGAGGAGAGGUAGGAGAGUUGAGGGAGGAGCGGUACGAGAGUUGAGGGAGGAGAGUUGAGGGAGGAGAGGUAGGAGAGGAGAGGGAUGAGAGGUAGGAGAGGAGAGGUAGGAGAGUUGAGGGAGGAGUGGUAGGAGAGAAAAGGUAGGAGAGGAGAGGGAUGAGAGGAGAGGUAGGAGAGUUGAGGGAGGAGAAGAGAGGCAGGAGAGUUGAGGGAGGAGAGGUAGGAGAGGAACAGUAGGAGAGGGAGAGGAGAGGUAGGAAAGGAGAGGUAGGAGAGGCAUGAGAGGAGUGGUAGGAGAGUUCAGGGAGUAGAGGAGAGGCAUGAGAGGAGAGGUAGAAGAGCUGAGGUAGGAGAGGAGAGGCAUGAGAGGAGAGGUAGGAGAGUUGAGGUAGGAGGGUUGAGGGAGGAGAUGCAUGAGAGGAAAGGCAUGAGAGGAGAGGUAGGAGAGUAGAGGAAGGAGAGGAGAGGGAGGAGGGUUGAGGGAGGAGAGGAAAGGGAGGAGAGGAAAGAGACUAGAGUUGAGGGAGGAGAGGUAGGAGAGGAAAGGUAGGAGAGGAGAGGGAGGAGGGUUGAGGGAGGAGAGGGAGGAGAGGAAAGGUAGGAGAGUUGAGGGAGGAGAGGUAGGAGAGGCAUGAGAGGAGAGGUAGGAGAGUUGAAGGAGGAGAGGAAAGGGAGAAGAGUUGAGGGAGGAGAGGGAGAUGUAGGGUAGGAGGGUUGAGGGAGGUAAGGUGGGAGAGGAAUGAGAGGAGAGGUAGGAGAGUUGAGGGAGGAGAGGAGAGGCAUGAGAGGGGAGGUAGGAGAGGGGAGAGGAGAGGUAGGAGGGUUGAUGGAAGAGAGUUGAGGGAGGAGAUGCAUGAGAGGAAAGGCAUGAGCAGGUCUCUCAGGGCUCAUGUCAGCUGGUCUGUCUUGUU